Molecule: small nuclear RNA, 91 nt
Filed under: Podarcis muralis (Common wall lizard)
Lineage: Eukaryota; Metazoa; Chordata; Lepidosauria; Squamata; Lacertidae
Description: U2 spliceosomal RNA (ENSPMRG00000021126.1)
Rfam family: U2 spliceosomal RNA
About the family: U2 is a small nuclear RNA (snRNA) component of the spliceosome (involved in pre-mRNA splicing). Complementary binding between U2 snRNA (in an area lying towards the 5' end but 3' to hairpin I) and the branchpoint sequence (BPS) of the intron results the bulging out of an unpaired adenosine, on the BPS, which initiates a nucleophilic attack at the intronic 5' splice site, thus starting the first of two transesterification reactions that mediate splicing.
Source: Rfam by way of RNAcentral
CUCGCUUCUCGGCCUUUUGGCUAAGAUCAAGUGUAGUAUCUGUGUGUGUGUGUGUGUGUUAAGUAAUCUGUGGCUCAGCUUACAACUCCCA